UACGUAGGGUGCGGGCGUUGUCCGGAAUUACUGGGCGUAAAGAGCUCGUAGGUGGUUUGUCGCGUUGUUCGUGAAAACUCACGGCUUAACUGUGAGCGUGCGGGCGAUACGGGCAGACUGGAGUACUGCAGGGGAGACUGGAAUUCCUGGUGUAGCGGUGGAAUGCGCAGAUAUCAGGAGGAACACCGGUGGCGAAGGCGGGUCUCUGGGCAGUAACUGACGCUGAGGAGCGAAAGCGUGGGGAGCGAACAGG
This 253-nucleotide ribosomal RNA is filed under the name uncultured bacterium. RNAcentral's name for it is "partial 16S ribosomal RNA". It matches the Rfam family "Bacterial small subunit ribosomal RNA", at positions 524 to 776 of the family's 1533-position model. The record is from RNAcentral.